Molecule: ribosomal RNA, 231 nt
Filed under: uncultured bacterium
Lineage: Bacteria
Description: partial 16S ribosomal RNA
Rfam family: Bacterial small subunit ribosomal RNA
Source: RNAcentral
CGGACGGGUGAGUAAUGUCUGGGAAACUGCCCGAUGGAGGGGGAUAACUACUGGAAACGGUAGCUAAUACCGCAUAACGUCGCAAGACCAAAGAGGGGACCUUCGGGCCUCUUGCCAUCGGAUGUGCCCAGAUGGGAUUAGCUAGUAGGUGGGGUAACGGCUCACCUAGGCGACGAUCCCUAGCUGGUCUGAGAGGAUGACCAGCCACAUUGGAACUGAGACACGGUCCAG